This is a non-coding RNA of Macaca mulatta (Rhesus monkey), 11150 nucleotides long. NCBI's taxonomy places the organism in Eukaryota, Metazoa, Chordata, Mammalia, Primates, Cercopithecidae. The record is from RefSeq and is a predicted model, not a curated record.
CUGGUUUAAUUUCACUGCAGUUCUUCAAAACCCCUUUUGUAUAAUCCUGUGUGUAGUCUUUCCCAUAACGAGCCUUAGCAGUCUGGCCCUCUCUGACGGGCAGUUCUCAUUGUGUUCCCCGUAGCACUUGCAUGUUAGCAAAGCUUUAUCCCCUCACUGAAGGCAGCUUUUUUUUUUGUUAGGAAAACACCAAGGUAAAUCUCCAGGGGCCCUCAGGACUCAGUGGGUGUGUCACCGUUAAAUGACCCAGCCAGCUGGACAGGUUGAGGUACAAUUUACUGGAAAUAUAUUAAAAGUGUCUUGGGAAAUGAUUCUUAGAAACGUUCCCACUGCUGGUGUGAUGCAGAUUAGAAUCCCAGUGUGCAACUGAGAAAAAUUAAAUUGUAACAAGAAACCCCUGAUGGCACAAUGAUGGCUUGUGGGAAGGAGGGUUGAAUUCAAGAACUAAAGGGAGAAAAUUCAGCCUCUGGCAACUUUCUUCCUAGGUCCAAGCCAGGUCUGCACAGAGCAGGGGACUGGACAGGUUGGGGCAUCUUCCCUUGACAAGUGAGAUCAGUGUGCAUUUUCCAGGGAGGUGACGUGUCAAACUCUGCAUUCUGCUCUCUCUUUACCCUGCCCCUUAGUGACAUCCCAAGGGAACCAGAGCUAGCUGCUUUAUGCCGCUUUAUGCAUAGACAAAUUUGGCAGCUACUAGUAUGUUGUGGUUUGUGCAGGAGAAACUUUCUGCCUAGCAUGAUCACCAUUCAACCUGCUAUUUCCCUCAAAGCAGGGACUCUCCAGGAACCUCUAUUUGAAAUGCAAAUGUCCAGCGAAAAGUAGACAUUUAUCAGUCAUUAAUACCAUAGUGAGUAUCAUCAGAACUUAUCCAACUGAAUAAUCAGGACCCUAAGAGAGUGGGACACAGGACAGAGUAAAAAGAAUUUCUUUGGAACUGCUUAAGGAAGGCAAGCCAGGUUGGGGCACCAUAAAGACCCCUGGGCUCAUGAUGAAAGGUCCAGAAGGCUGGGGUGGGGGAAGCAAAAAGAAUGGGGAAAAGUACUUUAGAAAAAAAAAGGUACAAGGGCAUCAAGGUGAAUUUGACCAAUCUCAGACUUCGCCUUAGAGUUGUCCUUCAGGUGACAUGAGGAAUUCUAUAAAACUUGUUCUUAGCGUUUUGUCCUAGAAAUCUCAUCUAGCAUCUCUGAAAUUUUUUUUGGCUCAUUGGCAGUUGGCCUUGAGUACAUUAAACUAUAAAUUUAAAAAACAAAUUUAACUUAUAUGACAAAUAGAAAAGUAAGCAAAGGAAUUUUAUAUGUGUCCCUUUGGCCAUUUUCAUGAUCUGCCUGGCACAUAGUAGAUGGUCAAUACAUGUUUAUUCAAGAUGAAUUGAAUGUGUACAACAGGCAUUAAUGUAACUCCUACUUUAUGGGUAAGGAAAUUGAGUCUCAGAGGGGUUAAGCAAGUUACCCAAGGUUAGGCAACUAAUCAGUCCUUCCUUGUGAUACUCCACUUUGUCCUGUCCUCGUUACUUAGCUUUAAAGCAAUUCUUUCUGCUUUGUAUUCUGACUCUAAGACCAUUCUUCAUUGCCCCCUAUAGGAAAAGGGUCUUGGGCUCCAUAUUAUUAAACCAGGUACAUGUAGAAAAAUUGAAUGUGAUAUACAAGGAAGUCCUUGACCUUUUAAUUCUAAUCUUCUGAGUCUGCUGGACUUCUACGUCCCCAGUUUCCCAACCAGAUAUACUUUUCAGGCACCUUAAGGGCUUGAACAAUUUCUGCUUCUAGAAUCUUAUUUUAAUGGAAUAAUCAGACAUAAGGGCAAAGAUGAAUCUAUAAGGAGAUUUAUCAAAGUAUUAUUUUUAAUCAGAAAUCACUCAAAUAUCUGAGACUGGGAUCGGUGGUCCAUUUUCUUCCAUCAUGUGAGAUAGGAACACUGCUUGAACCACACAUGAGCUGGGUUUCCAAAGAGACAAGGUCAGACAUUUAUAUAACCCAAGGAUAGCACAUUUAAAGUAGGAAGAACUGAUGAAGAAGGACCCCUCAGGGGGCAAUGUAGAGCCAGGAGCUAGGGUGUUGGGUUGUAAGUCCAGAUUGGAGCUGGAUGGUCUCAAAACACUGGCAAGUACUUGCCUGAUAGUCUAACUGUGGAUGGUGUUUGGGGCAUCAGGGUGGCUUAAAGUAGAGACUAGAGAUGACUGUGCCAUUUGUGAGUUGCCCAACUGUGACCACAAAAAUCCAUUUCAAUUUAUUUCACUCACUGCCCACCUCCACUCCCAACCCAAACCGGGUCACCCUUGUUCUCUCUGAGAUUGUGGGAGUGACUCUCUCCAGACCAUUGAGCUAUCCAGUGGCUCUUUGAAAGGGAUUCUUGACAUCAUCAUUUUGUCUCCUUUUUAAUUACAGACUCAAUUUGAUCCCACAUUUGCAGAUAAUUCUAAACCACUAUGGCUGAGACACAAGAACGAUGACAUUUCUUAGGGUUGCUUUUUUUUUUUUUUUUUUUGAGAAUGCACUGUAAAUUAUCCCAUGCUGUUUCUCUUGAAGUAUUACAAGUCAUAUAAAUUUCUUUUUAUUUUUACUCCUUUUUGUAUGUGUGUAUGUAUAUGUCUGCCUGUAAUGUGUAACAGCAGAACAUGUGUGGAGGAAGGUAUGUGACCCUCUAGGCCUGCACUAUCCCCCAGUUGGAGCUAUUAGCCACUUACAUGCACAAUUAACCAGCUGAUUCUUAGAUUGAAGGCUGAGGGAGCUAAUUGCAGGUACAAAAAUUGCACCCAUAUAAAAGGAGGUUGGUCUGAACAUUUAAUCUUUAGACCUUCUUCUUCAGGGUGACUAGGUAGUAUUUAUUUUUUCGUUUGCUUAUUUAUUUAUUUAUUGUUGACCCAGCUCCCAGUUUGCUUUCAUCACAGUUACUAGUGGCAUCCAGUGGAAUCCCCUAUUUAUGCCAUGAAUAGCUUCUACCAAAUAAUAUUCCAUUCAAGGUCUGGCACAAAGAUCUGUUGCAGGCUUUUUCUGUCUGUGUAGUGAAUUUUGUUUUAAAUCUAGAAUUUUAAAACAAUGUAUUAGAAAAUAUGAAUGAGGUAUGUAUGUGUGUAUGUGUGUUGCAUAUCUUCUUAAGAAAGCUCCCUAGGAAGAGAAUAUUCAUAUGAACUGAAAGUCUGCUUUGUGCCAGGUCCCUUCAUCCAUUUUUAUUUAUCUUCUCAAUAACCCAGUGACGUUGGUAGAUUACUUACAUUUAAUACACGAGGUUAUCGAGGUUUCUCAAAGAGCCUGGGGUUACACCACUGGCCCGGGGUUGCACUACUCAUUUUAGGUGUAUUUGAUGUCAAAUCCCAGCUCUUAACAUGACUCAACUCAACUUUUCAGCUUGGUAAAAUUUUACAUCUCUGAACUCGUGGCCGUCAGAAUAACCAGACCCCUCUGACUGCAAGUGUUAAAUGGGUAUCUAGUCUUCACCUUCAAACUUUUUACCAUGGCACAACAGGCAAUCCUUUUCUGUGCCUCUCUUCCACUUUUCAUGAUCACUUCUCUGGCAUCCUGCCCCAUUCUGUCCUCUGGAUGCCCUAGGAUCUGUUCCUUCUCUGAGGACAUCCCCUUUCAGUUCUGCCCUCCUUAGGUAAUAAUAUUCCAUGAUCUGGAACUUCUUUGGGGCUUUCCUUCCCAUUCCUACCUAGCCACUUCCUUAUUGGAAGUAUAACUCCAAUAACAGGAGUAAGUAUAACUCCUAUGUUCCUGCCUCACAGGCUAUGCUCUAUGUUCUUUAGCUAGUUAAUAAAAUAAUUCUACAUGAACAUGGAGAUUGUUAGAUGCUAAUGGAUUAAUAAAUUAUGGUGCAGUCACUAUUUUCCUCUAUCAGUUUCCUCCUUGGGAAAAUGAAAAGGCAGGACUGAAGUAACUCUAAAAUCCCAUCUUUUUCAAUUUCAUUUUCAAUCUAUGAUCCAUGAACCUGUACACGUUAUUCUUACAUUUUGACAAGGGCCUUCUAUAUGUAAUGGGCCUUAAUUAAAUGAGCUUUCUUUUCUCUUCUACCCCUUAAAUGGAAUGACCCAGGUUUAAUGCUUGGCCAUAUCCCCUUUUAUAGGGGAUCCCUGUGACCCUGCAUUUAUACUGAUGACUCCUCAAUCUGUUUCCAGUCUGCCUUCGACCUUGAGCACCAGAUGUCUCCAGGUAGCUGUCUCCUGGCCAUUUCUGCUUAGGUUUUCCAUAGUCCCCUGAAGUUUACUCAAUACAGAACAGAAACAUCCUUUCCACUCUCCCUCAACCUGCUCUUCCUUCCUAUUCAUUUGUCCUUGUCACCCACUGGAAGAAUUUGCUAAUAUUCUUACAUUCUCCUCCGUUCUCACCUCCUAAAGUUAUUGCCUGUUUCUCCUUCAUCUUAUACUUUGUUUUCAUCCAUUUAAUGCUCUUAACUCUCCAGAAUAACCCCCAUUACUUUUCUUAGGAGUUAUUACAGUGACCUUAUACAUGUUUCCCAUCAUCUAUUGCUGUUUUACGUCGAAUCUUCCUGUCAUGCCCACCCCACAGAUUUUAUGGGAGAAGAUAAAAAAAAAAAAGAAGAAACAUGGAUAUAUCUUGCAAAUUUAAAGUGUUCUACUAGUGUGCUUAAUUUUUUCUUGUGUUCUGGAAAGACAGAGAUCUGAUUCUGGCUCCUGAGUCUUUGUGUUGCUUCCAGUCUCCAGAGUGAUCCCCUUUCUCCCCUCUUCUCUUUAGAAUAAUACUCUUUCUUCAAGGCCUAGCACAAGCCCCCGUCUUCCAGAAGCAUGACCUGACCAUCUCCGCUCUCUUUAACAUGUCUUCUCUCUAAACCUCUAUGCUUUCACUGUUUGUACUUCAUUAAUUACCCUCUUUAACUGCUAUUUGAUUUCCUGGUGCACCGUUUGUUCUCCAUGAUCAGGUUGCAAAACUGCUUGAAGGCAGGGACCGUUUCUUAUUUUGCUCUGAAACAUAUUUGGAGAUGCUCAAAAAGCACUUGACUGAUUGGCUAGAUGGACAAAUGGAUGCAUAGAUGGAGGAACCCUUCAGUAGGUUGCUACUUGAUUUGGUUUAGGAUUGCAAAUCUAGCAAUCUGCAAUUAGCUUGAGGAGGAUGACUUCUAUGCUGGUGGGUUACGGAAGGCCAGCAAUCCAAGCAGAGGAGCAGCAACUGGAUUCCGAACCCCUGACUCCACUCAGGUGUAGAGAGAAUGUAACCAGUGGAAAUGCUAUGAGGCAAUAAAAUGUAGACACCUCUCACACCUAGUACUUUUCUUUCUUCCUUUAGUGGUGCACCAGGAAGAGAUGGCAGAAUCAGGUGAUAAAGUGAGAGCAGCAUGUGAGGCGAGCUGGUGAGCCAGCUUUGCACCUCUGCCCUUACCAAGUGCAUCCAAGGGGUUGUAGCCCAUUGCUCCCUAUGCCCAUAUGGGUGCAUUCAUUAUUUCCCCAGCAAAUGUGGUCAGUGUCCCCUCUUUUGUAUCCAAAUACACAAUUGAACAAUAAAUAAAACCAUGGAAAAUCCACAGUGCCAGAGGUCUUCAUUCAUUGAUGAUUUUAAAUGAACAUUGCUGCAUAGGAUGAAAAGAGCCAUUUUCAGGAAAGAAUUUAAACUGCACUAGAAGAGGGGAGAAAAUUGUUCAACAUUUGGUCAGUCUAACAAGGUAAAAGGGAAUGUGGGGUGGGGGCAAGCUAUUAGGGAAGGAAAGACUUUCUCACACAAUGAGCAGGCAUGGGGUGAAUAAAGUGCCGGCGUGGGUCUGCAAACAAUGCGUUAAUACUCGCAAAGUUACCAGGCAGGAGAACAGUUCUUUCUCUACAGUUAAAAAACCAUAAAUACCUUCAUGCUUCUCUCUCUUCUCUCAAUUAUGCCUCCCCCUUCCUUUGGUUCUUCGUCUAUGAAACUUAAAGCAUAUUUGAGGUGCUUAAAGGAGGGCUUCAACUACUGUUUAACAAGUCAAUACUAAUUAUUGUUUAGCACUGGAUUAUGGGCCGGAUCAUGGAAUUAAAACAGAGCUGUUAGGACACCUUUGUACCUGGCAAAGAGUUAAUGAGCACAUGCUGGGUCCCUGUAGUAACUGCCAAGCUGGUUCACUAUUUUAUUUCAGUGGUGCAGGAACAAAACCUAAUAAAUUUCGUUUUACUUUUAUCUCGAUGCUUCCUUUCUUCAUUAGGGAAAUGAGGAAGCGUCAUUGUAAUGUUUAUCAUAAAUUGGGAAAUUAUUUUUAUAUUGUUCAAUUAGUUGGUUAUCUACAAGGUAGCGUGGAUGUGUAUAUUGGAGGGAAAAAAUUACAAGCAAAUCUAGUGUUAGUAAAAGGUGCUGGAUUAAUAGCAGAGAAAGGUGAUUUACCUCCUGGGACUACAGAUAGUGACUGGACACUGUGUAUGUGUGUGUGGACUGUGAAUAUAUAAUCCAGACAGUAGACAGAGGGAGUGUGUUUGUGUGUUUGUGUGUGUGUGUAUCUAUAUAUGAAAUGUAUAGGUUGGCAGCCUACAUUUCUGGAGCCCCAAGGUCCAGGCACUUGGGGUUUCUUGGAAGGCUCCAUUGGAAGGACAAUGUGAGGGAAGGAAAGAAAGUUGGGGGGAAUAGGGUAAAUUCUGAACAAUCUGUUUGCUCUGAUGAGAUGUCCAGCUGUGAUGGUGACCAGAUUUUCAUAGCAACUCAAUUCAGCAGAUCCCUGAGCAACUAAAUGGUCUUGGCUUUGGGGUCCUGCUGACUGCAGCGGGAUUUGAACUGGUGACCUAUAAGCGAGAAAUGCUCUUUGCUAUUGCUAGGUGCAUGUGCUGUUUAGCUUGACCCUCUCACUGCUUCCCGCUGGCUCUUCAAAAUUAACAUUUAGACAUGUUCAGCUCUGAAAUGUGGGGUGCAGGUCAUCUGGUGAUCAGACCUAAAGCUUAUUUUAAAAGCUUUGGAAAUCACUGAAAAAUAUAUUAUUUGUAUACAUUCUAUAAAUUUUAAGUUUCUUAUGUGAAAACAAAGCAGGGGAAAUACUCUACAUAUGUCAAGGUAUAUAAGAUAUAAUGUAUAGCUUAAUAACAGAUUUUAUUUUUGUUUCAAGUUUUUCCAUUUACUUUGGUACUUUACAAUAUUGGAGUUGCUAUGUAGAAACUAGGAGUCCAUUAAUAUGUGUAUCUUAUGCAGUCGGUAUUACAUAUAUAUAUAUAUAUAUUUUUAAAAACCCUCUUGAUCUUUAACCCCACUAUUGCAUAAAGGUUCAGGGGAUCAAUUGUAGAUAAAAAGACAGGAGAUCUCAGAGGGCUUACAAACCUAUUGGCAGCUUCUCAAGAUACACUACUGGGUCUGUAUGUAUUGGUAUUUAGCUUUGCAUGGCUCAGACAAGGAGAAACGUUGUAAUUGAUUUUAUUUGAAAGCAAGCAAUGGGGCCAAAGGGGAACUUUUGGCCUCCAGUUUUUGCUUUCAGCCUAUAUAAAGUAAGCAUUCCUAUCAGAGGUGUUUAAUGGUGCACUUGGUCUUUCUUUUCCUUUUUUUUCUUUUCUUUUCUUUUUUUUUUUUUUAAUACAAGUGUGAAUGGGUGCCUCAGGCUAAGCAAGCCCCACCUCUCAGAACCUCAGAGGCUGUGGGAAUGAUCCCUGCCCUCCAGACCCAUCCUUAAUUGGCCCAUAGUACAAGAAGCAAUUAAAACUAAGGGCCUGAUUCAUAAAAUGUGAACAUGCCAUUUAAAUGUGUGCAGGGGGAUUCUUGCUCAUAAUGCUGAAAUAGAAGCAGCAAGGAUUUUGUUUUUAUCCCCUAAGCUCACUCUUCAUAAAUUUACUUUUCUUUUUGCCUCUGGGCCCUAAAUGCCCUCCAUCCUUUCUCAGACAAAGCUAAAGCUAUCUUCAGGGUAAAGGUUGGUCUCAAGUCCUGGGGUGCCUGCUGACCUAGCCCAUCCUCUAUCCCCCUUCCCUUGGCCAGAUGUUUUAAUCAUGGUUUUUACAUAUCUAUUUCUGUUAUUUAAUCAUUUUUAUAUUUUGCCCAACAGUAUGUGGAAUGAAAACUCCAGAAACUGAGUUGAACAUUACUGUCUGCCGAGAUUGAAGUGAAGGGAAAGCUGCCAGACUCUGCCAGAGAUAAGCUUCAGAAAGGAGUUAGAGGAAGAGAAAAUACCCCAGAAUUCCAAGAGUGCUGUUUGACACUUACUGAGGAACUAAUUGCAGCGUGAGUGGGGCCACGAGACAAAUGCUGCAAUCCAGGCAUAAUGCGACAACAAAUACAAUAAGGUGCAAGAUAUUGCAUACAAUGUCAGAGGCUUUUCAGACUGUCUAGAAGGUCUUCAAUGCCGGAUUGAGAAUCCCUGCUGUACAGGUAUAAAUACAGUAGUUUCUUUUUAUCCGAAGUUUUGCUUUGUGUGGUUUGAGUUACCGGUAGUCAACAGUGGUCUGAAAUGUUAAAUAGAAAAUUCCAGAAAUAAUUCAUAAGUUUUAAAUUGUGUGCUGUUUCGAGUGGUGUGAUGAAAUCUUGUGCUGUCUUGCUCAGUCCCACCUGUGAUGUGACUCACGCUUUUGUGCAGAAUAUCCAUGGUGUCUUCAUUCACCAUCCAUUAGUCACUCAGUAGCCAUCUCAGUUAUCAGAUCAACUGUCAUGGCAUUGCAGUGCUCAUGUUCAAGUGACCCUUAUUUUACUUAAUAACGGCAGCCUCAAAGUGCAAACAGUAGUGAUGGUAACACAUUGUUAUGAGUGUUCCAUUUUAUUAUUUUUGUUGUUAAUCUCUUACUGUGCCUAAUUUAUAAAUUAAAUUUCAUCAUAGGCAUAUAUAGGAAAAGCAUAGUGUAUAUAGGGCUCCAUACUAUCUGGAGUUCCAGGCAUCCACUGGGGAUCCAGAAAUGUAUCCCCCAGGGAUAAGGGAGGAUACUGUAUGUUGAAGAGAAUGGGACACAAUCAGCUACUUGCUCAGAGGGAGUUUGGAAAAAAGGUACCUAAAAUCAAGUAAUUACAAUUUUCAUACCCUGAGAGGAUACAGGAUUGCUAAGUCUCCUCUAUGCUGUAAGCAGAACUGCCUCAGUCACUGUUGCCACCAAGGUACAGGAGUCCUGUAUUGAGUCUUUGCUGGAAUUCCUGGGACAUCCUGCCAACUUCAGGCUCCCCUUGAUUUUUGGGGACUGGUCUCAUUUCUAACGGACAGAUAGAGGAUCAAUGAGCAGAACUUUAUGGCUGUUGCAAGUUCACACAAAUCUCGCACCUACUCAUUUUCCUGGGGUGGUGAUUGUCUGUGUAGGUGGAGCUCACUACUGGUCACACAGCUUGCCAAGCAGAGCUCUAUGAGAGAUGCCUACAGAUUUGCUUCCUGAGACAUAGCUCUGUUCUCCAUCCCCCAUCAUGUUAGCGCAUCCGGAUAAGUGCCAGAAUAAAAGAGAGAGUAGGAGAAACACAUUGCUCUAUAGCUGUGGAGUUUUCUCUGUCCUUGGAUUUUGAAUUUUUGGUUGUUGACCAUUGGCUAGGACCAUAUGGCUCUCUGUUGUUUUCAUUCACAUCUCCUCUCCAGCUCCCCACACAAUGUUGGGACUGUUUGCAAGGCUCCUUUCCAUCAGUCCGCCCAGCAGCAUAUGACAUCUCAGGGAUUUACAUUUUUAAUUUAAUCAUUAGCUUAAUGUUUGGGGGACAUUAGUCAUAGGAAGUUAGUCUCAUUCAUCCAGAUGCAUUUUUGAAAGUUACAGCUCUUUUCUGUCUACCAUAAUGCCCCCCUUGAGCAUGACUUCUCCCAUUUCCUUUAAAAAACACUCUGUUCUUCUGGAACUUUCAAAUAAAGACAUCAAAGCUGGAAGGAAUUAUUAACUCAGAAACUACAUUUGAGACUUCCAGAGGAGUUGAACCUGGCUGGAGUUGUGGAGAAACAGUAUUGGUGUAGGGUCAGGAAAUGACUUAAACUUGAUCUUCAAGGACUUGAAAUUGCUCCCCUGAAAAAUGGAAAGGCACUUCUCUUGCCUACAACCCUCUGGGGAGACCUGAGUCCAGUGCUUGCUUUCCCUUCAAUGCAAAUGAAUGAACGAAGUUUGCUCCCUAGGCUUCUGGCCAACAGAACUGGAACCAUUUUUGGAAGUUGGGCUGCUCUUUGUGUUCUUCAGCUUUGUAAGUUUCUGGACAGAUGGCUCUGGAGGGGAAGGUGGGGCUUGGCAUGGGCUUUGGAAAUGUUGCCUUUAGAUAGAAGGGAGGAAGAUUAUUUCAAGUGAGCCAGUGACUUGAGAAAAAGUGUGGAAGCAGGUAUAAUAAUGAAUAUUCUGGGCCCUAUGAAUGCAUCUAUAUGAAUGUAAGUGGGAUAUCAAAGUUGUUCAGCCUGGAUAGAGCAGGCUGGGGCAAGGGUAGAAGUUUUCUUACCAUGUUCUUUAGAGUUUGGAGUUUAUUCUGUGGGUAGUCUAGAGCCACUGGAAGCAUGUGAGUUUGGGAAUUUCAGGGUCAAAUCAGUUUUAGAAUUGUUAGUUUGAUAGUGGUUAUCAUGUAACUGGUCUCAUGGGAGUCCCUUUGUGGAGCUUCCUUUCUCAAAUGAACAAAGGCCAGUGUUUUUUUUUUGAUAGUGAAAUUAUUUUGACCAUAGAGUUGCCAUUCUUUAUAUGACUAAGGACCCUCUUUCCAUUUUCAAUACAGUUUAAGAAAUCUUCUUGUAACCCUCUCCUCUCCAAGUUGAGCCAUUGGACUGCAGUUAUCUCAAGCACAAAGCCUUACCAACAUUUCCCUACAGAGCCUACACUUGAUUGUUUGUAGACAAAGUCAGCCAUGCCUUGGUCAUGAUCCAGAGAAGCCCAUUCUUUCUGUAUUCUGUAACCCUUUCUGGGCUGCACCCUCAUGACUCCCACGUGUCCUACCCCCAUCUCUCUUUGCCUUAUUCUUCAUCUGACCAUUUCCCAUUAAUAACAUCCUGCAACAGGAAAACUAUCCUUUUCUCAUUCAAGGAACUGAAAAAGUAACUUUCUCCUUAUAGCUCACCUGCUCAAGAGCCUCUCUACAACUCUUUUGGACCUCAUUGCAACCUGAAUAAUUCAAUUCCUUCACUUUCUUUCUGUCACCUCCACAUGUCAUGUAUCUAACUUAUCACAUUCACGAUUUAUAAAUACCCUUCCCCGUUUUUCUUUCUUCCCACCUGCCCAGAAAAUGCACCCUCUAGAGAGGCCCAGCAAUAUACUGUGAUUGUGCCUAUAAUUAAACAGCCAAACAUUGCUGGAAAGGAAGGAAGGAAGGAAGGAAGGAAGGAAGGAAGGAAGGAAGGAAGGAAGGAAGGAA